AUGAACGCUGGCGGCGUGCCUAAUACAUGCAAGUCGAGCGAACAGACGAGGAGCUUGCUCCUCUGACGUUAGCGGCGGACGGGUGAGUAACACGUGGAUAACCUACCUAUAAGACUGGGAUAACUUCGGGAAACCGGAGCUAAUACCGGAUAAUAUAUUGAACCGCAUGGUUCAAUAGUGAAAGACGGUUUUGCUGUCACUUAUAGAUGGAUCCGCGCCGCAUUAGCUAGUUGGUAAGGUAACGGCUUAUCAAGGCAACGAUGCGUAGCCGACCUGAGAGGGUGAUCGGCCACACUGGAACUGAGACACGGUCCAGACUCCUACGGGAGGCAGCAGUAGGGAAUCUUCCGCAAUGGGCGAAAGCUUGACGGAGCAACGCCGCGUGAGUGAUGAAGGUCUUCGGAUCGUAAAACUCUGUUAUUAGGGAAGAACAAAUGUGUAAGUAACUAUGCACGUCUUGACGGUACCUAAUCAGAAAGCCACGGCUAACUACGUG
RNAcentral lists this ribosomal RNA (496 nucleotides) under uncultured bacterium. RNAcentral describes it as "partial 16S ribosomal RNA". It matches the Rfam family "Bacterial small subunit ribosomal RNA", at positions 29 to 507 of the family's 1533-position model. The record is from RNAcentral.